RNAcentral lists this ribosomal RNA (119 nucleotides) under Pteropus alecto (black flying fox). Lineage: Eukaryota; Metazoa; Chordata; Mammalia; Chiroptera; Pteropodidae. The record is from RNAcentral.
GUCUAUGGCCAUGCUACCCCGAACAAGCCCAAUUCCGUCUAAUCUUGGAAGCUAAGCAGUGUCGGGCCUGGUUAGUACGUGGAUGGGAGACCACCUUGGAAGACCAGGUACUGUAGGUG